AUGUUUAUACUUGAUCAAUUUCGACUUAAUUUUUUCUUGUUCCUCACUUAUAAUCUUUUUGCCUCUUUCAUAAAGAGAUAAUAUUAAAACUUAAGAUUUCAAGCUCAGAUUUGGUGCAUCAAGUUUGCUAACCUAUUCCUUUAGGGUGCAAUUUUCUUUUUCAGUUGUGAUCUUACAAGAUUCUAGAUUAAUAUAACGCUUACAAAACUUCUAAAUAUUUCAUCACUAUCAGAGGUUAGAUAUUGAAAAUCAUCAAUUAUUGCACUUAUUAAUGAGACAAGUUUUCUUUUUAAAACAAAGACAACUUUUCUUUUAAUUCUAUAAUACUUUCCUCUGAGACUGCAUCUCU
This 349-nucleotide long non-coding RNA is filed under the name Capsicum annuum. RNAcentral describes it as "long non-coding RNA (CANN_LNC015573)". The record is from RNAcentral. Lineage: Eukaryota; Viridiplantae; Streptophyta; Magnoliopsida; Solanales; Solanaceae.